GAGGAAUAUUGGUCAAUGGGCGCAAGCCUGAACCAGCCAUGCCGCGUGCAGGAAGAAGCAUCUAUGGUGUGUAAACUGCUUUUAUACAGGAAGAAACACCUCCACGUGUGGAGGCUUGACGGUACUGUAGGAACAAGGAUCGGCUAACUCCGUGCCAGCGGCCGCGGUAAUACGGAGGAUCCAAGCGUUAUCCGGAAUCAUUGGGUUUAAAGGGUCCGUAGGCGGUCUUAUAAGUCAGUGGUGAAAGCCCAUCGCUCAACGAUGGAACUGCCAUUGAUACUGUAAGACUUGAAUUUUUGUGAAGUAACUAGAAUAUGUAGUGUAGCGGUGAAAUGCUUAGAUAUUACAUGGAAUACCAAUUGCGAAGGCAGGUUACUAACAAACGAUUGACGCUGAUGGACGAAAGCGUGGGGAGCGAAC
This 420-nucleotide ribosomal RNA is filed under the name uncultured bacterium. RNAcentral describes it as "bacterial SSU rRNA". It matches the Rfam family "Bacterial small subunit ribosomal RNA", at positions 356 to 773 of the family's 1533-position model. The record is from RNAcentral.